This 292-nucleotide ribosomal RNA is filed under the name uncultured bacterium. Its description in RNAcentral is "partial 16S ribosomal RNA". It matches the Rfam family "Bacterial small subunit ribosomal RNA", at positions 505 to 796 of the family's 1533-position model. The record is from RNAcentral.
GUGUCAGCAGCCGCGGUAAGACGGAGGAUGCAAGCGUUAUCCGGAAUGAUUGGGCGUAAAGCGUUCGCAGGUGGCUGUUCAAGUCUGCUGUCAAAGCCCGGGGCUUAACCCUGGAAAGGCAGUGGAAACUGAACGGCUAGAGUGCAGUAUGGGUAGAGGGAAUUCCCAGUGUAGCGGUGAAAUGCGUAGAGAUUGGGAAGAACACCCGUGGCGAAAGCGCUCUGCUGGACUGCCACUGACACUGAGGGACGAAAGCUAGGGGAGCGAAAGGGAUUAGAAACCCUCGUAGUCC